GACAAAUCCCCAGAGACAUUAUUACUGCCUUUCAAAGACAACUUGUUUCAACUUAAUUUAAAUCUGUUCCUAACUGACUUGUUCUAAGCCCAAAUAGUCCCUGCUCAAGUGAAAUACGUAAAAUCACCUAUUUCCUACUUGGUUUCAGAUCUGACCUUCAGUUAAAGCAGUGUAACUUGGUAUGAAGACAUGGCCUUAAACUUCCUACGCCUUGCACUAGUCCAAGAGGAGUCCAGGAGACCACAUUAUUCACCAGCGCAGAUGGAGAAGGGUGAGUUUCUCAUUUCUUACCUUUGCUAAGGCUUCAGGAUAUCUUGCAGUCCUUUUUAUUCACCCAGUUAGGACAUCUACACUGAGAAAUAGUAUGUGUGCUACUGUAACCGGUUUGUAUUCAAGGUUAAUUUUCUACAGACAUAAUACUCAUUUACACUAAGAAUCAUAUUUUUACAAUGUGAAG
RNAcentral lists this long non-coding RNA (457 nucleotides) under Anser brachyrhynchus (Pink-footed goose). RNAcentral's name for it is "lncRNA (ENSABRG00000001013.1)". The record is from RNAcentral. Lineage: Eukaryota; Metazoa; Chordata; Aves; Anseriformes; Anatidae.